UUUUUAUUGAUUCAUUAUUAACACUUUAUUAAUGCUUUAUUAAUGCUUGCCGGCAUAUAUAUUGAAAUAUCCUCAAGUAAUUGUUUGCAAAACAUUGAAACAGUGGAAGAGUAUUUAUACUACACAUACAGUGAAACAAAAUGAGUUGCCCAUGGGGGGAGAAAAUUCUAAUAAUUUUGUCCAGAGACAGGCUUGUCAAAAACACUCUAGUCCUCUCCAGAAGAUAGAAUAAACAUUUUUGGACCAGUACAUUGGUGUGAAAACACUUCUAAACAUAACCAACAUUUUCAGACAUAGUGACAGGAGCAAUUAUGAUUAUCAACCUUGCUUAAGUACAAAAUUACAAAUGUUUCCUGGCUUGAGAUUUCAACUAAUAGGCUAUCUGGUUACUGGUCUGGUUACUGGCCAGAUGUUCUAAUCACUAGCCAGUGUGGUUACUGAUUAAAUACUCUAACCCACAGGCAAUCUGGUUACUGGUCAGAUAGGCUGCGAGUUAAAGUAUCUAGUUACUGGUCAGAAAGGCUGUGAAUUAAAGUAUCUAGUUACUGGUCAGAUGUUUUGCCACUGAGACUUUCAAAAAUAGAUAUGGUGAACCUGAUUAAACAAAUAAUACAAAAUUAAUUGUCCAUUCUUAAUUGAUCAAAUUGACUCAACAUCCAAUGUAUUUUUGAAAAGGGUGUAGACCUCUACAUUAACCAGCCAGAUUAAAGAUUAAAGUAACAUUUUCGAAAGAUAAAGUGCACGAUUUCUGGCAACAGGUUGUCAAAUUGCCACUGUCGAGCCAAGAAUUGUCCGUGAACAUUUUCUACUAUUGUCAUGUACUUGCUGAUUUGUGCCCCAUGUCAUCAAGAUCAUUUCAAACUUGGAAUGUAAAAGCUAACUGAGGCAUGGUAGGAAUUCUUCUACAAAUUACACACAUAUAAACAACAUAUUACAUGCUUUUUGUUAAUCGCAAAACUCCCAGACUGAAUCUUAAGGGGAGGGUCUGUAACCUUCUCACUUAUAUUUAUUCACAAUAUUUUGAUGAUCCUUAACCAUGGUGUCAUCUAUAAAAGGUUUUUUAAGUAUUCAGAAACAUCUUCAGUGUUCAGUGAUUCCAAAAUGGCAAAAUAAAUGUUUCAACAUUCAGUUCAGCUUGAUAUCGUAAUUGCACAAAACAAAUAUGGGACAAACAUAGGACUAAUCGUAUUUAGCUGAUUCAUUUAGAGAUUCAAACACUAUGCAGGACAGUUGUUUUUUAUUCAACAUUUAUAUGAAAUACAGAAAAUAACAUAUUCAACUAAGAAAUUCCGAAAAUGGUAUUCUCUAAAUUUCUCUUAAAACUGUACCCCAUUUCAGCCACACAAAACAAAUCUAGAUUUAUGGCAUUUGUAAAUGAGCUAGUGACAGCAUUUUCUAGAUCUUACACAAUGUUAUAGCUAAACCUUCCUUACGUAGGGAAGACGAGCUUUACAGAAAACAUCCCUGUUCAAAGUGUGAACUGGCGGUGCAGCUCACCCCCCUCCCCGCCCUCUCAGGCCAGGCCGCCUCCGUGUUUGCUCAUCUAAUUACAGGGGAGUGGCUGACUGACGGGCCAGCCGUCCCAAAAAAACCCUCCAGGCUAGGGGCUGGGAACGCAACAAACACCCACCCAGCACUGUCUCCAAAAUGUGACGGCAGCAACGUCCAACUGUCAUGGGGGAGCCUUGACUGGCAAAACGCGAAGGCCCAAAGAGAGAUAUUAAAGACAUGAGAGGAAUUGGCAGCGUCGGCACUAACAGGGGGUACACUUGAGAAGUCGAAGCAGGGAGCUGUGGGCAUCGCCAAAGUGUCAGUCAAAGGAAAGUGGGGUUUGGAAAAGGCACAAACACAGACUGACUCACACAGGAGCACUUUUCUCUUUCACUCUCCUAAAAGACAAUAUAUUCAGAAAGGGUAGAGAAGGAAAACCAACAAGGAAAUAGUUUACUGUUAUUGUAUUUCAGACCACAAAGUAUAAAGAUAAGAAGUGUGUCAGUGAGUGUUUGUGUGUGUGUGUGUGUGUGUGUGUGUGUGUGUGUGAGUGUGUGCUCACCUUUCUCACAGGGAGGUAUAAUCCACUGGGGGUUUAAAUGCUCCACUGCUGUCAGGAGGCCUGACAGAAUACCUCAGGGAGCCUGGUAGCUGACCCCCAUCCAUAUUCAGGUCUGACAAACAAAACAGACCUGCACAGGAGGUUAACAUGGAAAAACCACCACUUAACUGGCUCUCUCUCCCAAGGCCUGAGAUCUCAUCAAUCCCUCUAACACUCACCUCACCCUGAGAGGCAAGACAAGAAACCAUUUGAUAGGAAUCAUGAAUAAUCACAGUUGUGCAAGCGCGCUGUGCCCAUUUCUUAAAUGCAUUAUGGGGAUUACACACAAAAUCACACAAUGUAACAUUUUCAAAUGUGUUAUGAAUGCUUCCCGGAAUCCAAUUCAAAUCCUAGGUUACCAAAUAAGCCUGAACAAAUCCUCCACAUUGAGUUUUUACUCCUUUGAACUCUGUAACGGAGAGGUCCAGUCUGCAGGGCAGGUUUUACCAUGCCAGGCACAGACAGACCCCUCAACCCCAGGAUAGAGAUUGGGCUAGCCUAACACUGGGAGGGUGGGGGAGAGAGAGGGCUAGCCUAACACUGGGAGGGUGGGGGAGAGAGAGGGCUUGCCUAACAGUUGGAGGAUGGGGGAGAGAGAGGACUAGCCUAACACUGGGAGGGUGGGGGAGAGAGAGGUCUAGCUUAGCACUGGGAGGGUGGGGGAGAGAGAGGUCUAGUCUAACACUGGGAGGGUGGGGGAGAGAGAGGUCUAGUCUAACACUGGGAGGGUGGGGGAGAGAGAGGUCUAGCCUAACACUGGGAGGAUGGGGGAGAGAGAGGUCUAGCCUAACACUGGGAGGGUGGGGGAGAGAGAGGUCUAGCUUAGCACUGGGAGGGUGGGGGAGAGAGAGGUCUAGUCUAACACUGGGAGGGUGGGGGAGAGAGAGGUCUAGCUUAGCACUGGGAGGGUGGGGGAGAGAGAGGUCUAGUCUAACACUGGGAGGGUGGGGGAGAGAGAGGUCUAGCCUAACACUAGGAGGGUGGGGGAGAGAGGUCUAGCCUAACACUGGGAGGGUGGGGGAGAGAGAGGUCUAACCUAGCACUGGGAGGGUGGGGGGGAGGUCUAGCCCUAGCACUGGGAGGGUGGGGGAGAGAGAGGGCUAGCCUAGCACAGGUAGGGUGGGGGAGAGAUGGCUAAGAUUGCACAGGGUGGUUGGGUUAGAGCGAGGGCUAGCCUAACACUGGGAGGAUGGGGGAAAGAGAGGGCCUCACUUAGAAAGUGAGUUACUUGAGAGAGAAAAAGAUAGGAAGAGAAAAUAAGAGUGAGUGAGAGAGAGAACUAGCAUGCCCUGUACAUGUAUGCUCAGGUCCACAGGAUGGCUGGUUGCAGAAGGUACUGCUGCUUGGCAGUUAAGUAAGCAAAGAUAUAUUUAUUUUCACACUGCUUUUGGCUGGAGGGUAAGUCAGCCUUACUAUUAGUCAACCAGGUUGUUGUAAAACCAAACACACGAGUUUGAGUACAAUGGACUUGAUGCAUGAAUAGCAUUAAAAAUAUUGGCAUGACAUAUCAUCAAUUAAAAUCAUUUUAAUAUAACAUCUUAACACUCAUGAGUCACACUCAAGAGCGAAUAUUGAGGCAUUGCUCCUACAGUGACCUUAUGAACAGAAACAAAGUAUGAAUCUGGCUUCACCUUGAGUUUUAUUUUUUAUCCUGUAUAAUUUGUCCUUGUUGGAUUUCCACGGGUCUUGACUUUGCUCCCUCAUUUAGAUGGUCUGAAGGAGAGUCUAUUAAAUUGAUUCCAUGUGUUUGUUGCAGAGGCUCUGUGCAAACAAAAGACAAACAAUUACAGCACUGAUUAAUAGGCAUGCAAUAUUACGGCUGGAGCCACCUCAGCACACACUGAGCCCACAAACAUAUACUGUAUCGCCUCAGUGACUACCCAGCUUUAUGGAGGAGAAUACCAUUCUAUAAGUCUAAUACCCAUACAGUCAUGACUAUUACAGUGCUACCAUUUUAUGAGAAUGUUAUCAUAGAUAGCAGAUUUCUGAGAUAAGUCAAUACAGUAACCAAGUGAGAACACCAAUGCUGAUACAAUUGGGGGGGUUUUUCGACUUAAAUUUCAGCCCUAGAAAUGAAAUAUGCUCUAGAUGACUAAGUAUAUAUAAGACUCCGGGAAUUAUAAAACAACAAACAACAGAUACAACUUUUCAAGAGCAUACCUUAGUACCAGUAGUCUAGAUCAUUAUACCUAUCAAAUUUUAGCCAUGUUUUCAUCCUAUCACUACCCAUCUGUUCACACUCAUUGAAAACCCCACAUCAAAUCCUGAAUAAAUAUGGUAGAUAACAGUUUGCAGAUAGUAGAACUUCAACAACAGACAGUUUGUGAUUCUAUACAAUAUGAUUAUUAUGCAAAAUAGUAAAUAGACUCAUAUAUUUAGUACAUUAAUAAAAUAAAAGCAAUCGC
Esox lucius (northern pike) is the source of this 4497-nucleotide long non-coding RNA. The record is from Ensembl. Lineage: Eukaryota; Metazoa; Chordata; Actinopteri; Esociformes; Esocidae.